GGUGGCUCAGUGGUUGAGCACUUGCCUUGCAUGCAUGAGGUCCUGUGUUCAAUUCCUCAGCACCA
This 65-nucleotide transfer RNA is filed under the name Dipodomys ordii (Ord's kangaroo rat). It matches the Rfam family "tRNA". From Rfam's summary of the family: Transfer RNA (tRNA) molecules are approximately 80 nucleotides in length. Lineage: Eukaryota; Metazoa; Chordata; Mammalia; Rodentia; Heteromyidae. The record is from Rfam by way of RNAcentral.